Molecule: ribosomal RNA, 1394 nt
Filed under: uncultured Lactobacillus sp.
Lineage: Bacteria; Bacillati; Bacillota; Bacilli; Lactobacillales; Lactobacillaceae
Description: bacterial SSU rRNA
Rfam family: Bacterial small subunit ribosomal RNA
Source: RNAcentral
UUGAUCCUGGCUCAGGACGAACGCUGGCGGCGUGCCUAAUACAUGCAAGUCGAGCGAGCCGAACUAAUUGAUUACCUUCGGGUAUGAAGUUAGGGAAGCGAGCGGCGGAUGGGUGAGUAACACGUGGGUAACCUACCCUAUAGUCUGGGAUACCACUUGGAAACAGGUGCUAAUACCGGAUAAAAGGAGAGAUCACAUGAUUUCUUUUUGAAAGGCGGCGUAAGCUGUCGCUAAAGGAUAGACCCGCGGUGCAUUAGCUAGUUGGUAAGGUAACGGCUUACCAAGGCAACGAUGCAUAGCCGAGUUGAGAGACUGAUCGGCCACAUUGGGGAACUUGAGAGAAACACCGGCCCAACUUCCCUACGGAGGCAGGCAGUAAGGGAAUCUCCACAAUGGACGCAGUCUGAUGGAGCAACGCCGCGUGAGGUGAAGAAGGUUUUCGGAUCGUAAAGCUCUGUUGUUGGUGAAGAAAGAUAGUGAGAGUAACUGCUCAUUAUUUGCCGGUAAUCAACCAGAAAGUCACGGCUAACUACGUGCCAGCAGCCGCGGUAAUACGUAGGUGGCAAGCGUUGUCCGGAUUUAUUGGGCGUAAAGCGAGCGCAGGCGGAAAGAUAAGUCAGAUGUGAAAGCCCUCGGCUUAACCGAGGAAUAGCAUCGGAAACUGACUUUCUUGAGUGCAGAAGAGGAGAGUGGAACUCCAUGUGUAGCGGUGGAAUGCGUAGAUAUAUGGAAGAACACCAGUGGCGAAGGCGGCUCUCUGGUCUGUAACUGACGCUGAGGCUCGAAAGCAUGGGUAGCGAACAGGAUUAGAUACCCUGGUAGUCCAUGCUGUAAACGAUGAGUGCUAAGUGUUGGGAGGUUUCCGCCUCUCAGUGCUGCAGCUAACGCAUUAAGCACUCCGCCUGGGGAGUACGACCGCAAGGUCAAAACUCAAAGGAAUUGACGGGGGCCCGCACAAGCGGUGGAGCAUGUGGUUUAAUUCGAAGCAACGCGAAGAACCUUACCAGGUCUUGACAUCUAGUGCCAACCUAAGAGAUUAGGCGUUCCCUUCGGGGACACUAAGACAGGUGGUGCAUGGCUGUCGUCAGCUCGUGUCGUGAGAUGUUGGGUUAAGUCCCGCAACGAGCGCAACCCUUAUUAUUAGUUGCCAGCAUUAAGUUGGGCACCUCUAAUGAGAACUGCCGGUGACAAACCGGAGGAAGGGUGGGAUGAACGCUCAAGUCAUACAAUGUCCCCUAUAGUGACGUUGGGCUACACACGUGCUACAAUGGGCAGUACAACGAGGAGCGAACUUGUGAAGGCAAGCGAAUCUCUGAAAGCUGUCCUCAGUUCGGACUGUAGGCUGCAACUCGCCUACACGAAGCUGGAAUCGCUAGUAAUCGCGGAUCAGCACG